GAUUAACGUUGUAUGUUCGGCAGUACAACGUUUCAUUAAGUGCCUUGGUUCGUCUUUGUGCUAAAACAAAUACGGUAUCACUAAUUAACCAUCGAGAUUAACGAGUUUUCGAUGACUGUUGAAGUCUUGAGUAAACGAAAGUCAACAGUUACGGUUUGCAGGGCGGACAUGCCGGAACAUAAAUGCUGGUUAGUUCAUUGUCAUGUCAGCCCGACUUCGGUUGUUGCAUUUUUCGCUGGUAGUGAAACUACACACUGAAAAUUUUGCGCAAGUACUUUUGUUUGCAUAUCAUGGUUUCAUAGCAACUGGGUUUUUCUUUUUAUAGGUGCUUGGACUAUCUUGCAUCGGUGGAUAUGAAAAUAGUGGUAACCUACCCUACGAAACAGCUGUUUGCACAUAAGCUUAACAGUUCCCUGUGAGAUGCUGUGAAAGUCAGCAGGGAAGUGCGAUGUAGAAGAAACGACUGCCAGAAGCUUGCUAAGGAACCGCACAACCUGUGUGGGCAGCAGACAAAAUAUUCGUCAAACGGUACAAAACUAGUAUUUUUGUGCUUGGUCGUUUUGAGACAUCCUUGGUAUUGUAUGGAGAACAGCGUGACUAUGUCAUUCCGUCUUACUUCACCCAAACAGCUAUCUGGUAGUAGUGCAAGAUUUGAGUUCCUAAAAGGUUUAUUCACUGAAGUCACCUCAGCGCCAUACUAUAGGUCCCGCAAUGUUUAGUCCUUGCAUUUGUUUGCUGCAUUAUGCUUUUUAGGUGACUAUUAACACCAAAAAUAUGGAAAUUGCUCAGACAUUCUACAAAUCACAGAGCAACAAGUUUUAAACACCAGAUAUACGGUGAGUAUAAUAUGGGUAACAGCUUGACUGAAAUCUACAAUAGGGCCGAUGGCAGCAAAUCUGCCUGCUAGCGACAGUGGCGGUCUCCUGCGGAUGACGUCAUGUGAAUAAACUUGUAUACUACUUGUACGUACUUAUAAUAUUUGACGUGGUGAUACAGCUCUUGCUUUGUAUUGUCUUUUAUAAUAUACACAGUGUUUAUUUUUAUCCUGUACAGAAGUUUUGCACCAAAGUUAUGAGAGCAGCGCAGAUGUUGUUUUAGCGUAAUGGAGUGAUGGAAGUGCUGCGCCAAUCAUGGAGUGCUUAGCAGUUGCCUGCUCGACCAGCCACAGUGAGUCAUUGGAGGCAGUGCUGCAGCACCAACAAUCACUCGUUGGAAGAAAGGAAUGAGGUGGCCAUCAACACCCUGCUGCCAGUUCAACACUCCUCAGUCAAAACACAAGACGCCUGCUUGGCGGCGAAGUCAAUCCAGUUUUAGACAAGAGUUUUGUACCGUAGACUUCGUGUGUGGUUUACUGCGAAUAAAUGUUUAUGCUGA
Long non-coding RNA from Ornithodoros turicata, 1374 nucleotides. RefSeq lists it as uncharacterized. Lineage: Eukaryota; Metazoa; Arthropoda; Arachnida; Ixodida; Argasidae. The transcript has 3 exons. The record is from RefSeq and is a predicted model, not a curated record.